UGUUUUACAGGGUCAGACAUAGUAGUGUGGCACCCCUGGAGCAAAUUAGCCCUUAGAAACAGGGACCCAGUUUUCUUUGCAUUAAAAUUAAGCAGUGAUUAAUACUGCCCAAGUAGAACCAGAGUCAUGUAUGAAAUACAGCCAUCCAGAGUAAACACAGUGUCAAGACCUCCACCGAAGUUGGCUCCACUGCCUGUUCGACCAGUGCUCGGAGGUAGUCGUCACCAGCCGACCAGCUGCCACCGAUCCCUUUACCCUUUUCUGUUUGUUUUGUCUCAUUAGUUGCACCUGUGUCUAAUUGUUUCCCUGAUGUGCUUCCUUAUUUAAGAAUAGUAAACCCGCCCUUGGUUUUUGCGGUAUUGAUUUUGUCCGGACCGUGUACCCUGUGUUGGUCAGUAUUUUUUUGCGCCCUGUGUUGGUCAGUAUUUUUUUGCGCCCUGUGUUGGUCAGUAUUUUUUUGCGCCCUGUGUUGGUCAGUAUUUUUUUGCGCCCUGUGUUGGUCAGUAUUUUUUGCGCCCUGUGUUGGUCAGUAUUUUUUGCGCCCUGUGUUUUGGGCAUUGGAUUUUGGUGCCAUAUUAAAGUGCACUUUUCCCUGUGGAGCUCUCUGCGCCCGAUUCUUACCUCACACUGUCACGACUUCUACCGAAGAUACAGUGGAGGCUGCUGAGAGAACGGCUCAUAAUACUGACCAGAACGGAGCAAAUGGAAUGGCAUCAAACACCUGAAUCACCUGUUUGAGGUAGAGUCAACUGUGAGGUCAGCAGACAACAGACAACCUGGGCAGUGCCAUCUAGUGGACUCUGUGAGGAGAACAAGCUCAGACUCAUUGGGCUUGCAUGUCGGGGAAGGAUAGGGUCACUCGUACCCCUUGGACCUAAAGGGGAGACAGGAGAGCCAGGAGGGAAGCAACAGUCCAUCUGAGAAACACUAUUGGAAUAUAAAUGAUCAUGUUAUUUAAGUUACCAAGUUUGAAGAAACAAAUGAGUCUAGUGUCAUGUUCUUUCACGUGCAAGAAUCGAGUUUGAUCAGCCAUUUACUCUCUUAGAUCCAUCAGCUCAAAGCCAGUUUGAUACUAGUGGUAAUGCAAAUAUUGUUAUAUGUGAAAUUUAAACAAGACUUUGAUAUUUUCCCCACAAAAUCACUCAGAGGUACAGUUGGAUAGCCUACCUUUGGAUUCCUAUUCAUCGUUAACCAAAGACAAUUGCCAAAGCUUACAAAGCAAAACUACUGUACCACAUCUAGCAGCUACUGUAGUAAGCAGAACUAGCCAGCAAGCCAAACUGUUUUCAUAAAACACAAGAUAUAAAAAUACUAAACUGAUGCAUGUAUGGUACACUGUUUUCUCAUAUUUGUCGACCUGUUAAUAUAAAUUGAAAUGGAGGAACUUAUUCACGAAGGAUCAAGUGUUAUAUAUUAUACAAAAUAAAGCGAACUGGAUGGAAUAUGGGGGAAAAUGCACCAUUUUGUUUUUAAAAUCUUCAACAUGAUUCUCCAAACAAUAUUUUGAAAGAGGAAGGGAAGUAUUAUAUAGCAUAUGUUUUCAUUUCAGUCUCCUCCAUCUCCACUAACCAAAGUUAAUUGUAAGGAGUUUCUUCCUAUUCAUAAUGUAAAAUUAACAGCUGUACAGAAAGACUCAUUUGAAGACCAAAUUACAGAGGAGGGACUUCUUGAUGCAAUUCAUGCCUUUAAGUCCGGGAAAACUCCAGGUCUGGAUGGCAUACCAGUUAAGGUAGACUAAACCAUUUUUGAUGUGCUCAGUUUACAGUUAUUACUAUGUUCUAACCACUCCAAUAAAAAUUGUAGAUUGUCAGAU
Long non-coding RNA from Oncorhynchus keta (chum salmon), 1813 nucleotides. RefSeq lists it as uncharacterized. NCBI's taxonomy places the organism in Eukaryota, Metazoa, Chordata, Actinopteri, Salmoniformes, Salmonidae. The transcript is spliced from 4 exons. The record is from RefSeq and is a predicted model, not a curated record.